UACAGAGGCCCCGAGCGUUACUGAGAAUCACUGGGUUUAAAGGGUGCGUAGGUGGCGCGUUAAGUCCGUUGUGAAAUCCCUUGGCUCAACCAAGGAAAUGCUUCGGAUACUGGCGUGCUUGAGGCUAGUAGGGGUCACUGGAACUGACGGUGGAGCGGUGAAAUGCGUAGAUAUCGGAAAGAACACCAACGGCGAAAGCACUCUGCUGGGCCGACACUGACACUGAGAGACGAAAGCUAGGGGAGCGAAUGGG
RNAcentral lists this ribosomal RNA (253 nucleotides) under uncultured bacterium. RNAcentral describes it as "partial 16S ribosomal RNA". It matches the Rfam family "Bacterial small subunit ribosomal RNA", at positions 524 to 776 of the family's 1533-position model. The record is from RNAcentral.